This 583-nucleotide ribosomal RNA is filed under the name uncultured bacterium. RNAcentral describes it as "bacterial SSU rRNA". It matches the Rfam family "Bacterial small subunit ribosomal RNA", at positions 335 to 918 of the family's 1533-position model. The record is from RNAcentral.
ACUCCUACGGGAGGCAGCAGUGAGGAAUAUUGGACAAUGGAUGGAAAUCUGAUCCAGCCAUGCCGCGUGCAGGAAGACGGCCCUAUGGGUUGUAAACUGCUUUUGUAUGGGAGCAAUAAGGUCUAUGCGUAGACUGAUGAGAGUACCAUACGAAUAAGCAUCGGCUAACUCCGUGCCAGCAGCCGCGGUAAUACGGGGGAUGCAAGCGUUAUCCGGAUUUAUUGGGUUUAAAGGGUGCGUAGGCGGUUUGAUAAGUCAGCGGUGAAAUAUUUCAGCUUAACUGAAAGGGUGCCGUUGAUACUGUCAGGCUUGAAUAUGGUUGCUGUGGGUGGAAUGUGUGGUGUAGCGGUGAAAUGCUUAGAUAUCACACAGAAUAUCGAUUGCGAAGGCAGCUCACAAAGCCAUUAUUGACGCUGAUGCACGAAAGUGUGGGGAUCAAACAGGAUUAGAUACCCUGGUAGUCCACACUGUAAACGAUGAUAACUCGCUGUCGGCGAUACACAGUCGGUAGCCAAGCGAAAGCGAUAAGUUAUCCACCUGGGGAGUACGACCGCAAGGUUGAAACUCAAAGGAAUUGACGGGG